UAGCAAAAAUCAUCAUCGGUAAUCUCCCCAAUAACCAAAUCAAAACUAGUUUUUUCAACAAAAAAGAAAAUUGUAAUCGCUAUGGCUCCGUAGAUCGUAAAACAAGAUCCACAGGUUCCUAUCAGUAAGCGAAACACGUACAUUUGUUUAUGUCUAAUAUAGCGUCGAGUUAGGAUCAUUGCCCCAAAAAAAAGAGCUACCUUCGACGUGGCAUCAGACAAUU
This 223-nucleotide small RNA is filed under the name Arabidopsis thaliana (thale cress). Its description in RNAcentral is "ATSL196040". The record is from RNAcentral. Lineage: Eukaryota; Viridiplantae; Streptophyta; Magnoliopsida; Brassicales; Brassicaceae.